Molecule: ribosomal RNA, 472 nt
Rfam family: 5.8S ribosomal RNA (bases 1-125)
UGCAUCGAUGAAGAACGCAGCGAAAUGCGAUACGUAGUGUGAAUUGCAGAAUUCCGCGAAUCAUCGAGUCUUUGAACGCAAGUUGCGCCCGAGGCUUGUCCGAGGGCAUUUCCGCUAGAGCGUCACCGCGCCCCCCCACCGAUCCACUCUCGCCGCGAGGCGCCAGUCGGGUCGAGUGCAAGUGGCCGUCCCGGUGGAGCGGGCCUCCUUUCGCGAGGAGGCCCGACUUGGAAGGGUCGGCUGAAAUGGAUGGAAUCGGGCCGCCGUGGUGACACAGUCCGCGAUCGGGUGAUUUCGUCGCGAGGCUCCUUCGGGAGGUUCUCGGCGAAUUUUUUCUAAGUGCUUGGCUGCGUCCCCCAGUUGGCUCGGGUUACCUCAUGCAGGUCGAGCGCGCCCCCGCGGCGCGCGUCACGCAUCAGACCUCUAAUCGGAAAAGACUACCCGCUGAGUUUAAGCAUAUCAAUAAGCGGAG